AAUGCUGAAAGCAUCUAAGCAUGAAGCCCCCCUCAAGAUGAGAUUUCCCAUAGCGUAAGCUAGUAAGAUCCCCUGAAAGAUGAUCAGGUUGAUAGGUUCGAGGUGGAAGCAUGGUGACAUGUGGAGCUGACGAAUACUAAUAGAUCGAGGACUUAACCAUAUAA
RNAcentral lists this ribosomal RNA (164 nucleotides) under Bacillus mycoides. RNAcentral's name for it is "partial 23S ribosomal RNA". It matches the Rfam family "Bacterial large subunit ribosomal RNA", at positions 2767 to 2925 of the family's 2925-position model. Lineage: Bacteria; Bacillati; Bacillota; Bacilli; Caryophanales; Bacillaceae. The record is from RNAcentral.